CUCAGCCAGCACAGCGCAAAAAUAAAAAAAGAACCUUUGCCAGCUUCAGGCAUGCGCAAGCGAAAUUUAUGUACAAGCAGCGCGGCGUCCAAAGCGAAAUUUAUGUAUGUACAAGCAGCGCUGCAUUCAAAACAAACAGUAUAACAGUAGAAAAGGUUAUUGUUUUUGUAACUGUUUCGUGGUGAAAGUCCUUUAUGUGGACCAAAUUUCCCCACAAGAAAUUGAGCGCAUGGGUGCUUUUGCUUGCCAAAAGAACGAAUAUUAGAAAACAUUGAAAAAAAGUCUGAGAUAAUACAAUUAUAUUCUACACAAUAAUUUGCCCUAAUUAAAUAAUAUGAUAAUCAAGUGUAAAAGCUCUUUUCAACUCUUAUUUUUUCCAAAAUAAUAUUGCGGAUCAGAUUGCUCUGAGCGCUUGUUGUAAAAUGUUGUUUACCAAGAAAAUGCAGCCCUGUUGGUUUUUAUUUUUUUAUUUUUGUAUCGCAUCGCGGUGAGUUUCUAUUUCUUGGUAACUCAGUUUGUGAAAUGGUAAACAAAAGAUUGAAAUUUAUUGAUUUGAUGUGUUUAACAUUUGAUUAAUGCAAAUUUCUUUCUUUUCGGACCAUGAAUUACAAGCACAGCAUCAUCAACGGUCAUUGCAAGGAGAGCUACUGCAAUCCCUGCGGUUUUUCCUCUUGGUAAAUGCGUUCUGGGCGUGACAAAAGAUGGUCUUCCAAAUCAGCCGGAAUCCCCACACAUCUAUUGUACAAUGAGCGUCUGAUAGCCCACCAGCGUACAUAAAUAGAAAAUACAUAACGUGGCGAGGAACUUGUAUUUGAAGAUGAUGAGUACACAACGUUGGAGAGCAUCGAUUUGCAAUCUGAAUAAGGCUAUUGUUGCAGAACAAAACGCCGCAAGCACUGCUGUUCUUGCUAAAUAUAUGUAUACCAGCAGUACUGGUCAAAGCCGUCGGUGCAAUGAUUUCGAUAUCUGGACAAACGCCAUCUCCUCAUAAUUCCAACAGCUUGCCGACACCUCAGCUAUUUCAACUAUUUCAACUAAAGCACGUGAUGUAGUAUCUAGUUAAAAUCUAUGACAGAUUAGCUGUUACAAUUACUCCUAUAAUUUUUAUCAGUCACGCAUGAUAACAGGUUGUAAAGUUUUUGGAAUCGAAGAAACUACUCGAAGAAGACGAUGGCCGCAAAACUAUGUAGGCUGAUGAAACAUCUUCUGGUAUGCCUUUGACGAUCGUUAGUCAGACGGAGGCUUCACAUAUGAUAUUUUAGUCAUGGCUGGAGUUCGUUAGCGGACAGAGCACACAUUUACAAAAUAUUUAUCAGGCUGCAGAACGUGAAGGCAUAUUCAAUUCCGAUUUUAUUGGUCGAUUAUGGAUGGCAAUCGAACUUCAGUUGAGUGGCCAGUGGCUGAAAUGGUAUUCUGUUAUAGCCACCAAU
Rhagoletis zephyria (snowberry fruit fly) is the source of this 1430-nucleotide long non-coding RNA. RefSeq lists it as uncharacterized. The record is from RefSeq and is a predicted model, not a curated record. Lineage: Eukaryota; Metazoa; Arthropoda; Insecta; Diptera; Tephritidae.